AAAAACACUCGAGGGGAUCGCACUGUCGAGGUGCGAUUGUCGACGAUGCGAUUCCGGGACUCGCAGGCGCCCGUCCCCCGCGAGGGG
RNAcentral lists this ribosomal RNA (87 nucleotides) under Frullania fertilis. RNAcentral describes it as "partial 5.8S ribosomal RNA". Lineage: Eukaryota; Viridiplantae; Streptophyta; Jungermanniopsida; Porellales; Frullaniaceae. The record is from RNAcentral.